Long non-coding RNA from Poecile atricapillus (Black-capped chickadee), 854 nucleotides. RefSeq lists it as uncharacterized. Lineage: Eukaryota; Metazoa; Chordata; Aves; Passeriformes; Paridae. The record is from RefSeq and is a predicted model, not a curated record. The transcript has 3 exons.
UGGUUGAGAUAUUUGUCCUUGGGGGUUGUUUUUUUAUUAUUAUUUAUUUCCUUUUAUUCCUUAAUCACCGCAGCUAACAAAAACAUGACUUGAGACUGCUCCUUUACCAUCAAAUCUGAGCAGGGGCGCCUCAGCGUCAGUACAACUAAGCACAACAAAUCGUGGCCAGCUGUAGCAACCGACAGCAAGAGGGAGGGGAGGCGGUGGGACACGUGCAGCGGUCCGCAAAGGCUCCCGGCUGUUGCCCGGGGCUCCGGGGCCGGGAGAAUGUACCAAAACUGGGAAGCAGCAGAUAGAGGAGGCGAAGGAGAGCUGGGGGCCAGCGACUGCCCCAGGACGGAAGAGGCACGGGAGCGUCCCGGGAGCCCCGAAGCUGCCCGCCCGCCUACUGCACCCCUCUCACGCCAUGCCGCCAUCCCCAGCGUUCCAGCCCCGGACCUCCCGGGACCGGUGAGGAACUGCCUAGGCAACAGGAGCUCCGCACCAGCUGCGGAGGGGAGCGCAGUGCUGACAUUUCGACCGCCACGCCCUGGGAGAGUCCAAUAUAACGCGUGCGUUGGACAGUGAGACGUGGCACUGCAGGGCUGCAGGUGGGGCGCGCAGACAUCUCCCCCAGCCUGAAACUGUUACUUUCAAAAUGAAGAGGAAGAUAGAAGUGGGAAUGAAGAAUGCUUUGGAGAAAUCUAGUCAUAAUGUUUGAGGAGUAGAAAUAAUAGAAAAUACUAAUAACUCUGGUCUCUUACAUAGGUCAGAACUUAGACUGAAAUGAUGUAAAGUUACAAACCUGAGACAUAAGGGCUAUUAAAUUUGAAUCAAGAUUCACGGAUUUUUGAACGAAUGCAUAAUAAAAAUGU